UCCAGUUUGAGCACUGCCUGCCCGUUGAAUUAGUUAACGGACGCGGUAUUCUGGCCGUGCAAGGUAGCAUAAUCAUUUGUUCUCUAAAUAAGGACUUGUAUGAAAGGCCACACGAGGGUUUAACUGUCUCUUACUUCCAAUCAGUGAAAUUGACCUUCCCGUGAAGAGGCGGGAAUAAAGCAAUAAGACGAGAAGACCCUAUGGAGCUUUAAUUAACUAGCUCAAAAGAAUCUAUCUACCAGACCGACAGGAACAACAUACUCCUUCCAUGAGCUAACAAUUUAGGUUGGGGCGACCUCGGAGCACAAAACAACCUCCGAGUGAUAUUAAUCUAGACGUACCAGUCAAAAUGCUCACUUACUUAUUGAUCCAAAAACCUCUUUGAUCAACGGAACAAGUUACCCUAGGGAUAACAGCGCAAUCCUAUUUAAGAGUCCAUAUCGACAAUAGGGUUUACGACCUCGAUGUUGGAUCAGGACAUCCUAAUGGUGCAGCAGCUAUUAAGGGUUCGUUUGUUCAACGAUUAAAGUCCUACGUGAUCUGAGUUCCAAACCGGA
RNAcentral lists this ribosomal RNA (557 nucleotides) under Ursus thibetanus (Asiatic black bear). RNAcentral's name for it is "partial 16S ribosomal RNA". It matches the Rfam family "Bacterial large subunit ribosomal RNA", at positions 1893 to 2621 of the family's 2925-position model. Lineage: Eukaryota; Metazoa; Chordata; Mammalia; Carnivora; Ursidae. The record is from RNAcentral.